UACGUAGGUGGCUAGCGUUACUCGGAAUCACUAGGCGUAAAGCGCAGGUAGGCGGUUCGGUAAGUCUUUUGUGAAAGCUCCCGGCUUAACUGGGAGAGGCCAAGGGAAACUACCGGGCUGGAGUAUGGCAGAGGUAGCUGGAAUUCCCGGUGUAGCGGUGAAAUGCGUAGAGAUCGGGAGGAAUACCUAUGGCGAAAGCAGGCUACUGGGCCAUUACUGACGCUGAGCUGCGAAAGCUAGGGGAG
This 245-nucleotide ribosomal RNA is filed under the name uncultured bacterium. RNAcentral describes it as "partial 16S ribosomal RNA". It matches the Rfam family "Bacterial small subunit ribosomal RNA", at positions 524 to 768 of the family's 1533-position model. The record is from RNAcentral.